This 454-nucleotide RNase P RNA is filed under the name Acidobacteriota bacterium. RNAcentral's name for it is "Acidobacteria bacterium (activated sludge metagenome) RNase P RNA component class A". It matches the Rfam family "Bacterial RNase P class A". From Rfam's summary of the family: Ribonuclease P (RNase P) is a ubiquitous endoribonuclease, found in archaea, bacteria and eukarya as well as chloroplasts and mitochondria. Its best characterised activity is the generation of mature 5'-ends of tRNAs by cleaving the 5'-leader elements of precursor-tRNAs. Lineage: Bacteria; Pseudomonadati; Acidobacteriota. The record is from RNAcentral.
GAAGCAGGCCGGGUGAUCGCCGGCGUCAUUCAUUUGAUGCUGGAGGAAAGUCCGAACACUACAGGACAGCAGGCUGGCUAACGGCCAGGCGGGGUGACCCGACGGAAUAGUGCAACAGAGAACAGACAGCCAACCGCGUUUAUACGCGAUGGCGAUGGUGAAACGGUGAGGUAAAGGCAUCACCAGCGAGUGUGGCGACAUGCUCGGCUAGGCAAACCCCCUGCGGUGCAAGACCAAAUAGGGAAACGUUGAUCAAGGUUGUCCGCCUGAGUCCUUGCACUUCGCCGGUUUUCAGAAAGAAAGAUAGUCACAAUUAUUUUUUUCUGAGAUCGGGCGAAGUGCGAGGCGCGUUUUCGGGUAGGUCGCAUGACCGGCGCAGUAAUGCGCCGCCCAGAUGAAUGAUCGCCACUCAGUUCGCUGAGUACAGAAUUCGGCUUACAGGCCGGCUCCUCAA